This 72-nucleotide transfer RNA is filed under the name Armatimonadota bacterium. RNAcentral's name for it is "Armatimonadetes bacterium (sediment metagenome) tRNA-Val". It matches the Rfam family "tRNA". From Rfam's summary of the family: Transfer RNA (tRNA) molecules are approximately 80 nucleotides in length. Their secondary structure includes four short double-helical elements and three loops (D, anti-codon, and T loops). Lineage: Bacteria; Bacillati; Armatimonadota. The record is from RNAcentral.
GGGGAAAGCUUGUGGGAGAGCGCUUCCCUUACAAGGAAGAAGUCACAGGUUCGAGUCCUGUUUCGCCCACCA